GAAGGCGAUGAAGGACGUGGUUUAGCUGCGAUAUGCUUCGGGGAGGUGCUAAGCAACCUUUGAUCCGGAGAUUUCCGAAUGGGGAAACCCUCCAGCCGUACUUUUGCAAGUUGAGUUACGUUUACUAAGCGAGGUCGAACGCAUGCGUUUGACUAAUCAAAGUUACCGAACACUCGAGUGCAAAAGUACGGCUGGAACCCAUACUCUAAACCCUCGGGAAGUGAAACAUCUCAGUACCGAGAGGAAAAGAGAACAAUAGUUAUUCCCUUAGUAGCGGCGAGCGAAAAGGGAGGAGCCCAAACUCAGCCACUUAAAUAGCUUCGAGCGAAUAGCUUCGAGCUUCGAGGAGAUGCAGAAAUGCAUUUUUUCUCGCAGCUUGCAGCUCGUACCUAGAAGCUGUCUAAGGGGAUGGGGGUUAUAAGGCUACGGCGUGCAAGCGAAAGCUUGCGUAGAGUUACAAAAUGCUUAGUUAGAAGAACGCGCUGGGAAGCGCGGCCCCAGAGGGUAAUAGCCCCGUAUUCGAAAACAAAGCAUCUCUAUGGCUGUAGUUCUUGAGUAGUUCGAGACAUGAAAAGCUCGGGUGAAUUCGCCAGAACUAACUGGUAAGGCUACAUACUUCUUCAGAUCGAUAGUGAACAAGUACCGUGAGGGAAAGGUGAAAAGAACCCCGGUGAGGGGAGUGAAAUAGAUCUGAAACCACAUGUCUACAAGGAGUCAAAGCGGGCAUCACAUUGCACGUGAUGUCGAAGUGAAAAGUGAGAAGUAAAAAGUAAAAAAGCGAUUCGCAAUUCGGAAUUAUUUUUUCCUUACAACUUUUUUCUUUUGCCUUCGGACAUCAUGCGUAGCGUGAUGUCCGCGAUGGCGUGCCUAUUGAAGAAUGAGCCAACGAGUUGAUGCAUACGGCUUGGCUAAGUCCUUUUCGGAUGGAGCCGUAGCGAAAGCGAGUGUGAAUAGCGCGUUCGUCGUAUGUAUCAGACCCGAAGCGAGGUGAGCUACCCAUGAGCAGGCUGAACGCCGCAGAAAUGCGACGGGAGGGCCGAACCCGUAGAUUGUGCAACAUCUUGGGAUGACUUGUGGGUUGGAGUGAAAAGCUUAUCGAACCUCGUAAUAGCUGGUUCUCUCCGAAAGAGCUUUCGGGCUUGCGUCGUAUGUUCGUGCUGGGGGUAGAGCACUGGAAGGUUCGGAUAGGCCGCAAGGCCACUGAUCCUAUCAAACUCCGAAUACCAGCAUGUCAGUACGGCAGUUAGACGAUGGGGGCGAAGCUCCGUACGUCAAAAGGGAAACAGCCCAGAUCGCCAGUUAAGGUCCCAAAAUCCAUACUAAGUGCAAGGAAGGAGGUGAGAUUUCUCAGACAAUGAGGAUGUUGGCUUAGAAGCAGCCACCAUUCAAAGAAAGCGUAACAGCUCACUCAUUCAGAGAUCUUGCGCCAAAAAUAAUCGGGGCUAAGUAUGGUACCGAAACUGCGGAU
RNAcentral lists this ribosomal RNA (1468 nucleotides) under Candidatus Kaiserbacteria bacterium GW2011_GWC2_49_12. RNAcentral describes it as "bacterial LSU rRNA". It matches the Rfam family "Bacterial large subunit ribosomal RNA", at positions 42 to 1207 of the family's 2925-position model. Lineage: Bacteria; Candidatus Kaiseribacteriota. The record is from RNAcentral.